Unclassified non-coding RNA from Pongo abelii (Sumatran orangutan), 148 nucleotides. It matches the Rfam family "Metazoan signal recognition particle RNA". Rfam says of the family: The signal recognition particle (SRP) is a universally conserved ribonucleoprotein. It is involved in the co-translational targeting of proteins to membranes. The eukaryotic SRP consists of a 300-nucleotide 7S RNA and six proteins: SRPs 72, 68, 54, 19, 14, and 9. The record is from Ensembl. Lineage: Eukaryota; Metazoa; Chordata; Mammalia; Primates; Hominidae.
GCCAGGCAUGGUGGCGCAUGCCUGUAAUCCCAGCUACUCGGGAGGCUGAGGCAGGAGAAUCGCUUGAGCCCGGGAAGCGGAGGUUGCAGUGAGCCAAGAUCACGCAAUUGCACUCCAGCCUGGGCGACCGAGUGAGACCUUGUCUCAA